GAUGAACGCUGGCGGCGUGCCUAAUACAUGCAAGUCGAGCGAACAGACGAGGAGCUUGCUCCUCUGACGUUAGCGGCGGACGGGUGAGUAACACGUGGAUAACCUACCUAUAAGACUGGGAUAACUUCGGGAAACCGGAGCUAAUACCGGAUAAUAUAUUGAACCGCAUGGUUCAAUAGUGAAAGACGGUUUUGCUGUCACUUAUAGAUGGAUCCGCGCCGCAUUAGCUAAUUGGUAAGGUAACGGCUUACCAAGGCAACGAUGCGUAGCCGACCUGAGAGGGUGAUCGGCCACACUGGAACUGAGACACGGUCCAGACUCCUACGGGAGGCAGCAGUAGGGAAUCUUCCGCAAUGGGCGAAAGCUUGACGGAGCAACGCCGCGUGAGUGAUGAAGGUCUUCGGAUCGUAAAACUCUGUUAUUAGGGAAGAACAAAUGUGUAAGUAACUAUGCACGUCUUGACGGUACCUAAUCAGAAAGCCACGGCUAACUACGUG
This 497-nucleotide ribosomal RNA is filed under the name uncultured bacterium. Its description in RNAcentral is "partial 16S ribosomal RNA". It matches the Rfam family "Bacterial small subunit ribosomal RNA", at positions 28 to 507 of the family's 1533-position model. The record is from RNAcentral.